GGGUGUAACUGAUUGGUGUCUCCUUAUACCUCAGAGGCGCAGGCUGAAUUAGCAGGGGCUGUUAUAAAAGCAUUAGAUUUCAGGCCCACAGCUGUCUCAGAAUAGGAGGGGGAGGAGGUGUUCAUGGAUCCAGUUGUGGUCCUGGUGCUCUGUCUCUCCUGUUUGCUUCUUUCACUCUGGAUACAGAGCUCUCGGAAUGGGAAGCUCCUGCCUGGCCCCACUCCUCUCCCAAUUCUUGGAAACAUUCUACAAUUAGAUGUUAAGAACAUAAGCAAAUCCUUGAGCAAUCUCUCAAAAGUCUAUGGCCCUGUGUUCACUGUGUAUUUUGGCAUGAAGCCCACGGUGUAUGGAUAUGAAGCAGUGAAGGAAGCUCUGAUUGAUCUGGGAGAGGAGUUUUCUGGAAGAGGCAGUUUCCCAGUGAUUGAAAGAAUUAAUAAAGGACUUGGAAUCCUCUUCAGCAAUGGAAAGAGAUGGAAGGAGAUCCGUCACUUCUCCCUCAUGACCCUGCGGAAUUUCGGGAUGGGGAAGAAGAGCAUUGAGGACCGUAUUCAAGAAGAAGCCUGCUGUCUCGUGAAGGAGUUGAGAAAAACCAAUGCUUCACCCUGUGAUCCCACUUUCAUCCUGGGCUGUGCUCCCUGCAAUGUGAUCUGCUCCAUUAUUUUCCAGAAUUGUUUUGAUUAUAAAAAUCAGACUUUUCUAGACAUAAUGGAAAAAAUAAAUGAAAAUCUCAAGAUUCUGAGCUCCCCAUGGUUGCAGAUCUGCAAUACUUUCCCUGCUCUCCUUGAUUAUUUCCCAGGGAGUCAUAAUAAAUUAUUUAAAAAUGUUACUCGGGUAACAGGUUAUGUUUUGGAGCAAAUAAGGGAACACCAAACAUCCCUGGACAUUAACAAUCCUCGGGACUUAAUUGAUUGUUUCCUGAUCAAGAUGGAGCAGGAAAAGCACAAUCAAAAGUUGGCAUAUACAUUUGAAAACUUGGCAUUCACGAUAUCUGAUUUGUUUGGAGCUGGGACAGAGACAACAAGCACCACUCUGAGAUAUGGUCUCCUCCUCCUGCUCAAGCACCCAGAGGCCACAGCUAAGGUCCAGGAAGAGAUUGACCAUGUGAUUGGCAGACACCGGAGCCCCUGCAUGCAGGACAGGAGCCGCAUGCCCUACACGGAUACUGUGGUGCACGAGAUCCAGAGAUACAUCGACCUCGUCCCCACCAACGUGCCUCAUGCCGUGACCUGUGACGUUAAAUUCAGAAACUACCUCAUCCCCAAGGGCAUAGACAUUAAUGUCACUAACUUCUGUACUGCAUGAUGACAAAGAAUUCCCCAACCCAGAGGUGUUUGACCUUGGCCACUUCCUGGAUGAGAGUGGCAACUUUAAGAAGAGUGAUUACUUCAUGGCUUUCUCAGCAGGAAAACGUAUUUGUGUAGGAGAGAGCUUGGCCCGCAUGGAGCUGUUUUUAUUUCUGACCACAAUUUUACAAAACUUUACCUUGAAAUCUGUGGUUGACUCAAAGGACAUUGACAUCACCCCAGUUAUCAGUGGGCUGGCUUCUGUGCCACCUCCUUACCAGCUCUGCUUCAUUCCUGUGUGAGGGAAGGUAGAUCAUAUGCCUUUUUCAGUGCUGUUGUUUUCAGCUCCCUCUCAUGUGGGGUAUUGUUCACUUUUUUCCAGUCAGUCUUUCCUGAAUGCCUUCUCUGAUCGAUCCUCUUCUCAUCAUGCAGUUUCACCACAGAAAUGUAUCUGCUAUUCUUCAUACUCUGUAACAUCUGUAUUGGCCACCAUGUAUGCUAGCACUUCUCUAAUACUGAGUAGUACUAUAUACAUAGUACUACACACA
Non-coding RNA from Vicugna pacos (alpaca), 1831 nucleotides. The record is from RefSeq and is a predicted model, not a curated record. Lineage: Eukaryota; Metazoa; Chordata; Mammalia; Artiodactyla; Camelidae.